AUGAGUGUCUGGAGCUGUGAUUAACCAGGCAGCAACACAUCAUUUCCUCCCGGCGCGGAUCCAGGGAGCCGGGGAGGGAGCGGGAAAGGCGGCGCGGCGGGGCGGGGCCGUCCCCGCGCCCCUGCAGGCGCCCGGCCCUGAGGGAGCGGCCCAGCCCCCGAGCCGGCCGGGAGCAAGCCGCCGGGCCCUGCGCCCCGCGCCGUCUGUCUGGCAGGCUGGGGCCGCCGGCGCGGGUCUCCUCGGAGGCGACGGGCAGGCCUGAGCCGGGCUCCCGCGGCUGGGGUGGCAGGAGGAGAGGCCGCGCGGCGCGGGGAGAGCCCAGAUUACUCCAGACCCUGAGCCACUGAUAACUCUCCAAGACGAUACCUGCCAUAGAAUACAUGCUAAACAAUCAUCUAUUGAACAAAUGCGACUGGAAACCAAAUUAUCAAUUUUAGCAGAUACAUAACAGUUGCCUUAUAUUAGAUUCAGACACUGACAGGAAGUGAAGCCCUAGAAAGUGAAGCCCUUUCAAAGCCCUGCUGAUGACAGGGCCUGGAUCCCUGAGUUACUGGUUGGAGUGGAGUUACCUGGAGUUGCCUCCCGAGCAGGAACAUCCAUGUUGGACAUUUUAGGAAACAAGCUGCUGGAUUCCCAUCUCGGGACAUGGAGGAGGGGGUGCCUUUCUGUCCUCUCCUAUCUUCGUCAAGCCAUAUGCAACUGGCAGCCACCACGCUUCGCUCUGCAGGAGGAG
RNAcentral lists this long non-coding RNA (733 nucleotides) under Heterocephalus glaber (naked mole-rat). RNAcentral describes it as "lncRNA (ENSHGLG00100052570.1)". Lineage: Eukaryota; Metazoa; Chordata; Mammalia; Rodentia; Bathyergidae. The record is from RNAcentral.